CAGUAGCCACGGUAAUACGGAGGGGGCUAGCGUUGUUCGGAAUUACUGGGCGUAAAGCGCACGUAGGCGGCUUUGUAAGUUAGAGGUGAAAGCCCGGAGCUCAACUCCGGAAUUGCCUUUAAGACUGCAGAGCUAGCAGGUGAGAGAGGUGAGUGGAAUUCCGAGUGUAGAGGUGAGAUUCGUAGAUAUUCGGAAGAACACCAGUGGCGAAGGCGGCUCACUGGCUCAUACUGGACGCUGAGGUGCGAAAGCGUGGGGAGCAAACAGGAUUAGAUACCCCCGUAGUCCCUGUCUCUUAUAC
Molecule: ribosomal RNA, 301 nt
Filed under: uncultured bacterium
Lineage: Bacteria
Description: partial 16S ribosomal RNA
Rfam family: Bacterial small subunit ribosomal RNA
Source: RNAcentral